AAAACACUAGUAAAAUAGAAAAUUACACUGCCUUGUCAAGGCAGAAUUGUGAGUUAAACUCUCGCGUGUUUUA
RNAcentral lists this transfer RNA (73 nucleotides) under Cichla ocellaris (peacock cichlid). RNAcentral describes it as "tRNA-Asp". It matches the Rfam family "tRNA". From Rfam's summary of the family: Transfer RNA (tRNA) molecules are approximately 80 nucleotides in length. RNAcentral also lists the same sequence under 1 other name. Lineage: Eukaryota; Metazoa; Chordata; Actinopteri; Cichliformes; Cichlidae. The record is from RNAcentral.